Molecule: ribosomal RNA, 492 nt
Filed under: uncultured bacterium
Lineage: Bacteria
Description: partial 16S ribosomal RNA
Rfam family: Bacterial small subunit ribosomal RNA
Source: RNAcentral
AGUGAACGCUGGCGGUAGGCCUAACACAUGCAAGUCGAACGGCAGCACAGUAAGAGCUUGCUCUUACGGGUGGCGAGUGGCGGACGGGUGAGGAAUACAUCGGAAUCUACUUUUUCGUGGGGGAUAACGUAGGGAAACUUACGCUAAUACCGCAUACGACCUACGGGUGAAAGCAGGGGAUCUUCGGACCCUGCGCGAUUGAAUGAGCCGAUGUCGGAUUAGCUAGUUGGCGGGGUAAAGGCCCACCAAGGCGACGAUCCGUAGCUGGUCUGAGAGGAUGAUCAGCCACACUGGAACUGAGACACGGUCCAGACUCCUACGGGAGGCAGCAGUGGGGAAUAUUGGACAAUGGGCGCAAGCCUGAUCCAGCCAUACCACGUGGGUGAAGAAGGCCUUCGGGUUGUAAAGCCCUUUUGUUGGGAAAGAAAAGCAGCAGGUUAAUACCCCGCUGUUCUGACGGUACCCAAAGAAUAAGCACCGGCUAACUUCGUG